UGCGUAGGCGGGUCUUUAAGUCAGGGGUGAAAUCCUGGAGCUCAACUCCAGAACUGCCUUUGAUACUGAGGGUCUUGAGUCCGGGAGAGGUGAGUGGAACUGCGAGUGUAGAGGUGAAAUUCGUAGAUAUUCGCAAGAACACCAGUGGCGAAGGCGGCUCACUGGCCCGGUACUGACGCUGAGGCACGAAAGCGUGGGAGCAAACA
Molecule: ribosomal RNA, 206 nt
Filed under: uncultured bacterium
Lineage: Bacteria
Description: partial 16S ribosomal RNA
Rfam family: Bacterial small subunit ribosomal RNA
Source: RNAcentral